GCAUCUUAUAUAAACGAGUCUGGUCUUCUUGAGCCUCCAGUAGUAACUUGUUAGUGUGAUAAAACCGUCGGCGCUACAGACGAACAAACAUACCACUACUCGACAGUUAAAAAAAGUCAAUCGUAAACCAGCAUCAUGCCUUUCAAGCCAGUAGAAAACCCUAAGUGCCCAAAAUGUGGGAAGUCGGUGUAUGCGGCAGAGGAGCGCGUUGCCGGCGGUUUUAAAUGGCACAAAAUGUGCUUUAAAUGUGGUAUGUGUGGCAAGUUCUUAGACUCCACAAACUGUGCUGAACACGAAGGAGAACUGUACUGCAAGGUUUGCCACGGCCGCAAAUACGGGCCUAAAGGCUAUGGUUUUGGUGGUGGAGCCGGAUGUCUCAGCACGGAUAAGGGGGAACAAUUCAGCAGCAAUGUUGAAGCGACACGGGCAACAGCAGCAAUGCCAGUCCGUGCAAUAGCUAUGGCACCAGAAGGAGAAGGCUGCCCAAGAUGCGGUGGAUACGUCUAUGCUGCUGAGCAAAUGUUAGCCAGAGGAAGGGGCUGGCAUAGAGAGUGUUUCAAAUGUGGCGAUUGUUCGAAACGACUGGAUUCUACGAAUUGUUGUGAAGGACCAGACAAAAAUAUAUACUGCAAAGUGUGCUAUGCGAAGAAAUUUGGGCCUAAAGGCUAUGGAUAUGGACAAGGUGGUGGAGCAUUGCAGAGUGAUGGUGUUUCUAAUGGUGUGCUAUGCAAAAAAGUUUGGUCCACGAGGGGUAGGUUUUGGAGGGUCAGCGAUUGGUCUAACAUGCGAUAUCAAUGACAACAGUGAGGUCUCUGCUCCUAGAACUACUGUGUUGGACACAGCACGUAUCAAAGCACCACCUGGUCAAGGAUGUCCUCGGUGUGGUGGUUCAGUAUUUGCUGCUGAGCAGGUCUUAGCUAAAGGAAGUGAAUGGCAUCGCAAAUGCUUCAAGUGUAAGGACUGCAACAAAACCCUUGAUUCAAUCAUCGCUUGUGAUGGGCCAGAUAAGGAUGUGUACUGCAAAACUUGCUAUGGAAAGAAAUGGGGACCACAUGGCUAUGGAUUUGC
RNAcentral lists this unclassified non-coding RNA (1068 nucleotides) under Cimex lectularius (bed bug). RNAcentral's name for it is "muscle LIM protein 1-like, transcript variant X3". Lineage: Eukaryota; Metazoa; Arthropoda; Insecta; Hemiptera; Cimicidae. The record is from RNAcentral.